UCAGGUUAGGGUGCGAUACCAUCGUAUAUCAUAGUGUUUUAUGGCUACAUAAUCAUGAUAGGACAAAGGUUGACUUUGCCCAACCCUACCUGUUACAUUAUUUCUCAUUAUGAAGCCUAGCAGUAGUUUUUUAAAACAGCUGAGCCAGUCACAUGUUGUUUGUUUACAAGCGCACAACAACCGGAGACUACAGAGAAUUCCUGUCCUGGAUCAAGAUCCUUGCCGUCUGUUUUGUGCGUGCAGAAAACUGACCUGAGCCCUAGGACCAUGCCUUAGGACUACCUGGCUUGAUGACUCCUUGCUGUCCCCAGUUCACCUGGCCGUGCUGCUGCUCCAGUUCCAACUGUUCUUCCUGCAGCUAUGGAACCCUGACCUGUUCACCGGACGUGCUACCUGUCCCAGACCUGUUGUCCCAGACCUGCUGGAACCCUGACCUAUUCACCGGACGUGCUACCUGUCCCAGACCUGCUGUUUUCAACUCUCUAGAGACAGCAGGAGUGGUAGAGAUACUCUCAAAGAUCGGCUAUGAAAAAGCCAACUGACACUUACUCUUGUGUUACUGACUUGUUGCACUCUCGACAACUACUAUGAUUAUUAUUAUUUGACAAUGCUGGUCAUUUAUGAACAUUUGAACAUCUAGGCCAUGUGCUGUUAUAAUCUCCACCCGGCACAGCCAGAAGAGGACUGGCCACCCCUCAUAGCCUGGUUCCUCUCUAGGUUUCUUCCUAGGUUUUGGCCUUUCUAGGGAGUUUUUCCUAGCCACCGUGCUUCUACACCUGCAUUGCUUGCUGUUUGGGGUUUUAGGCUGGGUUUCUGUACAGCACUUUGUGAUAUCAGCUGAUGUAAGAAGGGCUAUAUAAAUACAUUUGAUUUGAUUUGAAUUGUUUUGUGUCAUCAUUAGCAUGGUUGGGUAGGUUACUUUCUAAAUAUAAUCUGUUACAGUAACUACUUACCUGUCUAAAAUUGUAAUCAGUAACAUAACUUUUGGAUUACCCAAACUCAGUAACGUAAUCUGAUUACUUUCACUUACUUUUGGAUUACUUUCCCAUUAAGAGGCGUUAGAGGAAGACAAAAAUAAUCCAUCAAACACAUUUGGUGUGUUGUAAUAGUGGUUUCUGACUUGUGGUGAGAACCACUCAGGUGAAACAAAAUUAAACUAGCGCCUUUUUUCAAUGCUGAAUUGUGUCAUAAUGUAGAAUUUUUUCCUUAAACAUCCUUUCUUAAAAGUAAUCCAAGAAGUAAUCAUCUACUUUUUCAAAAGUAUCUGUUACCUGAUUACAAUAUUUUUUGCUGGUAACUUAACUGAUUUGUAAGGGCUGUCGUCGUAAGAAAACCAAGAUGCAGCGGAGGAUGUGUAUUCAUUUUAAAGAUUUAAUCAAAUGAACCACUAUAAACAAAAUACUCGACAGAAACGACAGCAAACAGUUCUGUCUGGUCCUACAUGAACAAAACAGAAAACAAUCACCCACAAAACCCAAAGGAAAAACAGGCUACUUAUGUGUGACUCCCAAUCAGCAACAACAAACUACAGCUGUGCCUGAUUGGAAGCCACAUGGCCAAAAUCAACAAAGCAAACCAACCUAGAAAAAAUAACAUAGAACGCCCAUCCAAUGUAACACCCUGGCCUAACCAAAAUAAAGAACAAAAACCCCUCUCUAUGGCCAGGGCGUUACAUGAUUACAUAUGUAAUCAUUAGGAUAAUACAGUAUUGUGUACUGUUAUUUGUAAAUGUAUUCUGCUUUUAUUGGAUGAAGCUCACUUGGAAAAGAGAUGUCUCAAUGUGACUUUCCUGUUUAAAUAAAGCUAGUUCACC
RNAcentral lists this long non-coding RNA (1813 nucleotides) under Salmo salar (Atlantic salmon). RNAcentral's name for it is "lncRNA (ENSSSAG00000119840.1)". The record is from RNAcentral. Lineage: Eukaryota; Metazoa; Chordata; Actinopteri; Salmoniformes; Salmonidae.